Molecule: transfer RNA, 73 nt
Filed under: Haslea pseudostrearia
Lineage: Eukaryota; Bacillariophyta; Bacillariophyceae; Naviculales; Naviculaceae
Description: tRNA-Met
Rfam family: tRNA
About the family: Transfer RNA (tRNA) molecules are approximately 80 nucleotides in length. Their secondary structure includes four short double-helical elements and three loops (D, anti-codon, and T loops).
Source: RNAcentral
GGGCUUAUAGUUCAGUUGGUAGAACAUGCCGCUCAUAACGGUACAGUCGUAGGUUCGAAUCCUGCUAAGCCUA